This 87-nucleotide transfer RNA is filed under the name Bacteroidota bacterium. Its description in RNAcentral is "Bacteroidetes bacterium (marine sediment metagenome) tRNA-Leu". It matches the Rfam family "tRNA". Rfam says of the family: Transfer RNA (tRNA) molecules are approximately 80 nucleotides in length. Their secondary structure includes four short double-helical elements and three loops (D, anti-codon, and T loops). The record is from RNAcentral. RNAcentral also lists the same sequence under 1 other name. Lineage: Bacteria; Pseudomonadati; Bacteroidota.
GCCUGGAUGGCGGAAUUGGCAGACGCGCUACAUUCAGGGUGUAGUGUCCGCAAGGGCGUGCAGGUUCGACUCCUGUUCCAGGCACCA